AGAUUGAACGCUGGCGGCAGGCCUAACACAUGCAAGUCGAGCGGUAGAGAGGUGCUUGCACCUCUUGAGAGCGGCGGACGGGUGAGUAAUGCCUAGGAAUCUGCCUAGUGGUGGGGGAUAACGUUCGGAAACGGACGCUAAUACCGCAUACGUCCUACGGGAGAAAGCGGGGGACCUUCGGGCCUCGCGCCAUUAGAUGAGCCUAGGUCGGAUUAGCUAGUUGGUGAGGUAAUGGCUCACCAAGGCGACGAUCCGUAACUGGUCUGGAGAGGAUGAUCAGUCACACUGGAACUGAGACACGGUCAGACUCCUACGGGAGGCAGCGAGGUGGGAAUAGUUGGACAAGUGGGACGAAAGCCUAGACUCC
This 367-nucleotide ribosomal RNA is filed under the name uncultured soil bacterium. RNAcentral describes it as "bacterial SSU rRNA". It matches the Rfam family "Bacterial small subunit ribosomal RNA", at positions 26 to 389 of the family's 1533-position model. The record is from RNAcentral.